UCAAGUCAGUGUAUUAGAUGAGUAUAAUGAAGAUCUCUCAAACCAGUUGAGUAAGAAGUCAAUGGAAGGAUUAGAAGAGAAAGAAGAUUUGUAAUUAGAACUAGAAUCGGUGGAACCGACAUUCAAUAAUGCAGCAAAUGAUUAAUUGGAUGGGCCAGAAGAACUAGUAACUUUGUAGAGUUUUGUCAGAUAAUUUUUAGAUAGGUAUCAAUUGAAUGUUUGCGAGGAUGCUGCACAGAUAGGAGUGGGGCUAUGCAGAAUAGAUAUUAAUUUAUUUUUGAAAGAUAUUGAUAAAAUAUAUUAAUAGUCCAUAUAAUAGGAAAUUCAGGAAGAUGGAUGAAUGAUUUAAUUAUUAAAAGUGGUUAAUUACAGAAUUACGGUUAAAAUCUGGAGAAUCAGGGGAAAGUAUAUAGGAGUUCUAGAAGUUAAUUAAGGUGCCAUUGUUGUAAUAGUGUGAGCCGGGGUAAGCUUGGUGCUACCUCUUUUCUUUUGUUUGUUAUUUUCUUUGAAUAAGAAGAUUGAGAGUUUCUAAAUAUUGUGAAGUGAAUUAUGGAAUGGAAAUGUGAUUGGUAUUAUUUGAGAAGAAGAAAGAUUGAAUGCUAAAAUCUGAUUGUAGUUCAGUAGAGAGAAUGAGUCUGUGUUUGUGUGAAACAUUGUAAUGUAAAUGGUAGUUCUGUGUGAAGAAUUCCAGUGAUUGGAACGACGGUAAUUGUGUGCUGAAAGUUGUGAGGGCGUAAUAUUAUAGUUGGAGAUUAUGAGGGUGAAUAUAUUGGUGGAAAUAGCAGUUAUUGGUAUGAUUGAAUUGCUGUAAGGAAGAGACCGAUAAGGUGAAGGAGGAGAUUAUAGUUUCCUUGUAUGUUCAGAUAUUAGAAAUAGAGACGAGACAUUCAAGAUGUAAUUGAUUGUGUGACCCUAACGUGAACGCUUAAGCAACUAGUCAUUUCUCGUGUUCGAAUCUCCCUAUACGAG
Molecule: long non-coding RNA, 969 nt
Filed under: Physcomitrium patens
Lineage: Eukaryota; Viridiplantae; Streptophyta; Bryopsida; Funariales; Funariaceae
Description: long non-coding RNA (PPAT_LNC005165)
Source: RNAcentral